ACAACUUUCAGCAACGGAUCUCUUGGCUCUCGCAUCGAUGAAGAACGCAGCGAAAUGCGAUAAGUAAUGUGAAUUGCAGAAUUCAGUGAAUCAUCGAAUCUUUGAACGCACCCUUGCGCUCCUUGGUAUUCCGAGGAGCAUGCCUGUUUGAGUGUCAUUAA
Molecule: ribosomal RNA, 161 nt
Filed under: Bovistella utriformis
Lineage: Eukaryota; Fungi; Basidiomycota; Agaricomycetes; Agaricales; Lycoperdaceae
Description: 5.8S ribosomal RNA
Rfam family: 5.8S ribosomal RNA
About the family: 5.8S ribosomal RNA (5.8S rRNA) is a component of the large subunit of the eukaryotic ribosome. It is transcribed by RNA polymerase I as part of the 45S precursor that also contains 18S and 28S rRNA.
Source: RNAcentral